GGCCAGCUGAGGCCCACCUCCGGCUGCGGGAUUUUGUCGCUGCGUUGAGGGCCCAUUGGUUGUUUCCAGUUGUUUGCUGGUCUUUAGUAGGGUUGUUGUUUCUUUGACAUUUUCUCUAUUUCCAUUCCCAAUUUUAUGCUUACUUGUAUUGGCACUGUUAAUUAUUAAAACCUUUAAAAAUUUUAAUCUCGGUUUUAGUUUAUUUUAUCUUUUUUUUUUAUUGUGUUCGUAUUCUUAAAAUUGAAUGUUCCCUUGUUUUUAUUUAAUCUUCUUUCUUCAUUUUUUAUUCAAAUUUUUUAAAAACCAUGCAACAUGGACUACUUGCUUAUGUUAUGUAAUCUCUGAAGGAAGGGUUAAUUACACUUCAGGAAAUAUGUAUUCAAAAGGGAAAUAUCUCAAAGUACUUUCUUGUGCCUCUGAAGUAUGUCAUAUUAAUUGGACUGUUUCUUCCUUAUUUGGUCAAGAUAUAUAUAAAAAUCAUAAUUCUACCUGGGGAUUUUUUGGUGAUGGCGUGUUUUCAGCAUCAAGCUUUACAUCCGUAUCAAUAAUUAGAAACAUUAACAGUGAGAUGUACAUU
Molecule: long non-coding RNA, 577 nt
Filed under: Mytilus galloprovincialis (Mediterranean mussel)
Lineage: Eukaryota; Metazoa; Mollusca; Bivalvia; Mytilida; Mytilidae
Source: RNAcentral